RNAcentral lists this ribosomal RNA (279 nucleotides) under uncultured bacterium. Its description in RNAcentral is "partial 16S ribosomal RNA". It matches the Rfam family "Bacterial small subunit ribosomal RNA", at positions 506 to 784 of the family's 1533-position model. The record is from RNAcentral.
UGCCAGCCGCCGCGGUAAUACGGGAGUGGCAAGCGUUAUCCGGAAUUAUUGGGCUUAAAGAGCUCGUAGGUGGUUAAAAAAGUUGAUGGUGAAAUCCCAAGGCUCAACCUUGGAACUGCCAUCAAAACUUUUUAGCUAGAGUGUGAUAGAGGUAAGUGGAAUUUCUAGUGUAGAGGCGAAAUUCGUAGAUAUUAGAAAGAACACCAAAUGCGAAGGCAACUUACUGGGUCACUACUGACACUGAGGAGCGAAAGCAUGGGUAGCGAAGAGGAUUAGAUA